Molecule: non-coding RNA, 76 nt
Filed under: unclassified sequences
Description: L13-Bacteroidia ribosomal protein leader
Rfam family: L13-Bacteroidia ribosomal protein leader
Source: RNAcentral
UGGGGAACACUUAGAGCCCCCACGGACGUAGUGUUAAUAGUCGCUGUCUUUGGCCGGGCACGACGGUUAGUGAAUC